RNAcentral lists this ribosomal RNA (253 nucleotides) under uncultured bacterium. RNAcentral's name for it is "partial 16S ribosomal RNA". It matches the Rfam family "Bacterial small subunit ribosomal RNA", at positions 524 to 776 of the family's 1533-position model. The record is from RNAcentral.
AACGUAGGACGCAAGCGUUAUCCGGAGUUACUGGGCGUAAAGCGCGGGCAGGCGGUUCUGCCAGUCUGAUGUGAAAUCUCCCCGCUCAACGGGGAGCGGCCAUUGGAAACUACAGAACUGGAGUCUGACAGAGGUAGGCGGAAUUCCGGGUGGAGUGGUGAAAUGCGUAGAGAUCCGGAGGAACACCAGAGGCGAAGGCGGCCUACUGGGUCAGUACUGACGCUGAGCCGCGAAAGCCAGGGGAGCGAACGGG